Molecule: ribosomal RNA, 813 nt
Filed under: uncultured bacterium
Lineage: Bacteria
Description: bacterial SSU rRNA
Rfam family: Bacterial small subunit ribosomal RNA
Source: RNAcentral
AGAGUUUGAUCUGGCUCAGGACGAACGCUGGCGGCGUGCCUAAUACAUGCAAGUCGAGCGAAUCGAUGGGAGCUUGCUCCCUGAGAUUAGCGGCGGACGGGUGAGUAACACGUGGGUAACCUGCCUGUAAGAUUGGGAUAACUCCGGGAAACCGGAGCUAAUACCGGAUAACAUUUUGAACCGCAUGGUUCAAAAUUGAAAGAUGGCUUCGGCUAUCACUUACAGAUGGACCCGCGGCGCAUUAGCUAGUUGGUGAGGUAAUGGCUCACCAAGGCAACGAUGCGUAGCCGACCUGAGAGGGUGAUCGGCCACACUGGGACUGAGACACGGCCCAGACUCCUACGGGAGGCAGCAGUAGGGAAUCUUCCGCAAUGGACGAAAGUCUGACGGAGCAACGCCGCGUGAACGAUGAAGGCCUUCGGGUCGUAAAGUUCUGUUGUUAGGGAAGAACAAGUACCAGAGUAACUGCUGGUACCUUGACGGUACCUAACCAGAAAGCCACGGCUAACUACGUGCCAGCAGCCGCGGUAAUACGUAGGUGGCAAGCGUUGUCCGGAAUUAUUGGGCGUAAAGCGCGCGCAGGUGGUCUCUUAAGUCUGAUGUGAAAGCCCACGGCUCAACCGUGGAGGGUCAUUGGAAACUGGGGAACUUGAGUGCAGAAGAGGAAAGUGGAAUUCCAAGUGUAGCGGUGAAAUGCGUAGAGAUUUGGAGGAACACCAGUGGCGAAGGCGACUUUCUGGUCUGUAACUGACACUGAGGCGCGAAAGCGUGGGGAGCGAACAGGAUUAGAUACCCUGGUAGUCCACGCCGUAA